UCAAAAAGUUUGCUUUUGCUUUUUUAUUUUAAAAAUUAAAAUUUAAUAAAACAAAGAGAAAGAAACAAACAAAAAAAUUCGUAGAAUUGUUCCUGGUUUGUCGAUUGUCAUGUUCCUCUAGCUGUGUUAGGUUCCAUUCCAAACUACCACCAGGAAUUCUACCACAUGGUUUGCCCAUUGUAAAGGAAGUUGCAUCAGCCAUAACACCACUUGAACACAAAAAAGAAGGGCUCUAUCUGAGAAUGUCGACAUCUACACAGACUACAUUGGAGGUGGUGAUAAUGAAGAGUCAAACGAUGGGAGGACAAAUGCUAGGUUGUCGUUGAAUCGAGCUUUCUAUGAAGACCCAUAGUCUAAGAAUCGAUGCAUCACUUCAAUGGAUUGGUCAACACAUUUUCCUGAACUGGUUGUUGCUUCAUAUCACAAAAAUGAGGAGAGUCCCAAUGAACCAGAUGGUGUUGUGGUGUUGUAAUGGUCUGGAACACAAAAUAUAAAAAACAAGCACCCGAAGAUGUAUUCCAUUGUCAGAGUGCCGUUAUGUCAACAUGCUUUACUAAAUUCAAUUCAAUGAAUGAAUGUCCAGAGGACACCACAAGAUACGAACCCAGUGUACUGUUUGCAAAUGGUUGGCACACACAAUGUGAUAUCGAUCUCAUCCGAUGGCAAGCUUUGCUCUUGGAGUUUGGAUAUGUUGUCGAUGCCGCAAGAUACACUGGAAUUGCAGCAACGGCAAUCGAAGCCAAUUGCUAUCACUUGCAUGUUCUUUUCAUCGAAUGAGAUUAACAAUCUAGCAAUGGCAAUGUUUAUUCUGCUUAUCGACAUGGAAUACGUUCGGGUGUGUCUGAAGUCUAUGAGAAGCAUUUUGCGUCCAGUGACGGGAAUAUCAACUCAUCUAAAUCAAUCUACACCAGAUUUUGGUGAUUUGUUCCUUACAUCGUCCAUUGAUUGGACAAUUAAGUUAUGGAAUCUUAAGGUGAAUUAUGUUCAGUAAGCUCAAAAAUCAUAUUGGUUAAAAUGCAAAGCGCUCCUUUUUAUUGUUUUCACAAGAACCAAGCCACUCGUUCUUUAAGCCUACUUCAUCCCACAACAGCUCCCUGGCCCUGUAUAAACAAAAACAUUUUCCAGUCAUCAAGACGUUUAUUUAAGAUAAGAUGGAGGUUUAUGUCUAUUAAUCCAUCUACUUCUGCUUUGCUGCAUUAUGUUUAAUUGGAUAAAAAAGCUACUAUUGAAAUCGACAAUCUGGAGAAUCGAAGUCAAAUCAAUUCAGGAAUGCUGUGAUUAAUAACCAGGCUAAUCAUAAUUUGCAUAAUGAAGAACUCUUGUCUAGAGGAGCUAUACGCAUGUGGCACAAUGAGUUGAAUGAGAUAAAAUUUAUUAAUUUUGUUUUGUUUUUAAUUGAACCAAUAUUGUUUUAACUUUUUGAUUGUAUAUUAAAUAUUUAUGCAAAGUGAAACGAAUUUGUUUAACAACAGUUGGAAUAUAAAGUAAAAUUUGUUCAAUUGUACUUAAUCUAUUGAAUCAUCUCUCAUAUAGACUCAAUUUACUUAUUAUGUUUUAACAGUAAUUUUUUUCAAUCAAGCCUUACACCCAAACUUAUAAUCCCUAAAAAGAAUAAAAACUUAAAUUACUUAGUGAUCACAUGAAAUGAUUUUCUAUCUUAAUUGUGGCGAAUGAUAAAAAAAAAUUAGCAUUAGCUUUUAGUUUCAUAAACUGGACGGCGGGAGGUGAUUGAGACUUUGGUAGGAGCAGUGGUUGUGGUGGUUGAUGUGACUGUGACUGGGAUUGUGAUGUGGUUACAAUUUUAUUCUGCUCCGUGUCGCUUUUCUUCUUCUUUCUUGUUGAUUUUUCCUCGGCAUUAGCUUCAUCU
Episyrphus balteatus (marmalade hoverfly) is the source of this 1867-nucleotide RNA transcript. It is a transcript of the gene named cytoplasmic dynein 1 intermediate chain-like, with no coding region annotated. NCBI's taxonomy places the organism in Eukaryota, Metazoa, Arthropoda, Insecta, Diptera, Syrphidae. The transcript has 5 exons. The record is from RefSeq and is a predicted model, not a curated record.